GUCUAUGGCCAUACCACCCUGAACAAACUCGAUCCCAUCUGAUCUCAGAAGCUAAGCAGGGUCGGGCCUGGUUAGUACUUGGAUGGGAGACCACCGAGGAAGACCAGGUGCUGUAGGCA
This is a non-coding RNA of Pteropus alecto (black flying fox), 119 nucleotides long. Lineage: Eukaryota; Metazoa; Chordata; Mammalia; Chiroptera; Pteropodidae. The record is from Rfam.